RNAcentral lists this long non-coding RNA (1119 nucleotides) under Calidris pugnax (ruff). Its description in RNAcentral is "lncRNA (ENSCPUG00000013975.1)". The record is from RNAcentral. Lineage: Eukaryota; Metazoa; Chordata; Aves; Charadriiformes; Scolopacidae.
GGCUCUGAGACUCCCCGGGGGUACCCUGCGUGGAGGUGCCAGCGGGUCCAGCUCUGCUCCCACCUUCCUGCUUCCAGCCCGGGUCCCAUCCCACCCCCGGGAGCCUCUCCCCCCGUGCCCACACUCCGGUCCCUCACGCGUUAUGAUAACACAUAAGCAGCUUAGAGAAUUCUUAUCGGAAUAAGUUGAGCACAAUGCAACGUUUAACUCUUAAUGACAGCCACCCCUGACUGGGAGUGACAGGGGGGUGGUUGAACGGGGAGGAGGGGACACACGGGCCACCCAACGUUUGCAGGAGGACCUGGAGAGAAGUCCUUCCACCGGGGAAGGGCUGUUGGACGUAUCUGCCCCUGCGGUGGGUACUCGGAGCCUCAGAGGGGCUGGGGGGCGAGCGCCGGCCGUGGGGCAGACCCAGGAGCAUCCCAGACACGCAGGAGGGACCAGGGAUCCCAAACCUUGGUACCGAGUGAGAGCCUGAGGGAAUAGUCAGAAACUCCCCCUGGGGUCCCCCCCACUUUGAACCCAACGCAUGGAGGGGGUGGUUGAACGGGGAGGAGGGGACACACGGGCCACCCAACGUUUGCAGGAGGACCUGGAGAGAAGUCCUUCCACCCAAGAAGGGCUGUUGGAUGGAUCUGCCCCUGCGGUGGGUACUCAGAGCCUCAGAGGGGCUGGGGGGCGAGCGCCGGCCGUGGGGCAGACCCAGGAGCAUCCCAGACACGCAGGAGGGACCAGGGAUCCCAAACCUUGGUACCGAGUGAGAGCCUGAGGGAAUGGUCAGAAAUUUGUAUCUCCCCAGAGGCAAAAAAAAAACCCCAAAUGGACCUCAAAUCAGUGAUAGCCGAAAAAUUAUUUGACUUAAUUUCUACUGGUUUGGGUUUUUUUUUUUUUCACUAUUCCCCACAGGGCCGAGCCCGCCGCAGCUCGCGAUGGCAUCAGCCGGCCCCGCAGGCAGGAUUCUCUGCAGACACAGCCAACCCCCAACAAACCCCUUUUUAUCCUCCUGUUUCUAGGAAGAAUUAUGAUGGUGGUGCCCUGCUGUUGAUCAGUCAAAUCUGUGGUGGGCCUAGAGAUAAGUCCUGUGUGGGUAGGUGGGUCAGCAGACACCUUUCAAAUUGA